GCCUCCCUCUUUCUUCGUGCUUAACACAUGCAGGUCGAACGGAAAGGCCCUGCUUUUGUGGGGUGCUCGAGUGGCGAACGGGUGAGUAACACUUGAGUAACCUGCCCUUGACUUUGGGAUAACUUCAGGAAACUGGGGCUAAUACCGGAUAGGAGCUCCUGCUGCAUGGUGGGGGUUGGAAAGUUUCGGCGGUUGGGGAUGGACUCGCGGCUUAUCAGCUUGUUGGUGGGGUAGUGGCUUACCAAGGCUUUGACGGGUAGCCGGCCUGAGAGGGUGACCGGCCACAUUGGGACUGGGAUACGGCCCAGACUCCUACGGGAGGCAGCAGUGGGGAAUAUUGCACAAUGGGCGGAAGCCUGAUGCAGCAACGCCGCGUGCGGGAUGACGGCCUUCGGGUUGUAAACCGCUUUCGCCUGUGACGAAGCGUGAGUGACGGUAAUGGGUAAAGAAGCACCGGCUAACUACGUG
This 468-nucleotide ribosomal RNA is filed under the name uncultured bacterium. Its description in RNAcentral is "partial 16S ribosomal RNA". It matches the Rfam family "Bacterial small subunit ribosomal RNA", at positions 36 to 507 of the family's 1533-position model. The record is from RNAcentral.